Canis lupus familiaris (dog) is the source of this 1319-nucleotide long non-coding RNA. RefSeq lists it as uncharacterized. NCBI's taxonomy places the organism in Eukaryota, Metazoa, Chordata, Mammalia, Carnivora, Canidae. The transcript has 3 exons. The record is from RefSeq and is a predicted model, not a curated record.
CGUCACCAUGCGAGGAAGCCACGUGGAGGUGCUCUCUGUGACUGUCUCCCCACACUUCUCAGCCGGGGCCGAUCGCACGGGCUGGCAAUCCGUCCACUUGGACCUGCUGUCAGAAGGGGGCUCCAUGCUUGGCUUAAUGCUCGGUUGCCACCAUUUUUGAAAUUCUUUUUUUUUUUUUUAAGAUUUUAUUUAUUUAUUCAUGACAUAGAAUAAAUAUCAAUAAUAAUUGACACUGCUCACAGCCUAUUAGGAGAGACUCGGAGACACACAAAUAAAGAGACCUAAAUCAAACAGCUCUUGUGCCAUGGUCUGGGUUUCGGGAAACUGUCGGACAACUCCGUCUGGCCCAUCCCCAUGACCAUCAUGGCCUAUGUUUGUCAUGGGGAACAGCCCACUCCAGGUCCCAGACGCAGUGCUAGCAGCUCACACGGACUGAGACCUACAAACAAACAGGAUUCAUGCUUCCACUGCAGUUCAGUACUGUCCCCUUAUCUGUACUUUGGGAAGCAGAUAAUCUUCUGGAGGGAUCACCAGAAGGUCAGCAGUAGCCUGACGCUAGGUCACAGCGCCUGUGUCGACCACAUCACUUCAUCACGUGGACAUUGUAUCCUCUGACGUCAUCCCUAGAAGGAGAAGGGGUGCAAUGUGGGCUAUGGCCAAUGAGCGAGCGGCACAAGUGGACAAAGAGCUGCUGGCCCUCUUGGUUCCGAGAGAUCAUACCUUACGACCUUCAAAGACGUGCUCUGUGGUGCUUGCAUACAGCUCCCGAGGCCGCUUCAAUCAAUGUCAUCUUUAUUCUGGAGCUUCGAGCUUCUGGAUGUCAGAGCAACUGCAAAAAAUGAUGGAAAUUUUUAUUUUGAGCCAAGGAAGGUAGCCCUUAAAAAAAAAAAAAAGGCAAAAGUCAACUGCAUGAAUUAGAAAGAGAAGUCUUCAGAAUGCCUGUGGGUAUGAACAUAAAUUAAUGAAAAAAAAAAGAAAGAAAGAAAGGAAGUCAAGGCCUGGCAUUCACUGCGCAAGUGACAAAGCAUAUUUAUUCUCGCUGGUGAUGGGGAUCGAGUCUCUCCGGGAUAAAACGGACGCUCAGCCUGCAGAAUGUGCUGGAACAUUAAGGGUGGUGCGAACAGGGCAGCUGUAGCCGCGGUGCAGCCCGAGGGACAGAGGUGAAAGAUUGUUCAGGUUGAGGUUCUAUUCUGAAGGUGACAGGGCUGAACUGGAAACUUCCCUGGGUUGGGGAGGGCUCUUUGGAUUUUGACUUUGGCACAAAGCAUGUGGUUUCCUUCAUGCUGCUGCCCUCCUCAAGGUGACAGAAUGGCUGCAGC